UACGGAGGGCGCAAGCGUUGUUCGGAAUUACUGGGCGUAAAGCGCGUGUAGGGGGCCUGGCAAGUCGGGUGUGAAAUCCCGGAGCUCAACUCCGGAACUGCAUCCGAUACUGCCAAGCUCGAGUCUCGGAGAGGAUGGCGGAAUUUCCGGUGUAGAGGUGAAAUUCGUAGAUAUCGGAAGGAACACCAGUGGCGAAGGCGGCCGUCUGGACGAUGACUGACACUGAGACGCGAAAGCGUGGGGAGCAAACAGG
RNAcentral lists this ribosomal RNA (253 nucleotides) under uncultured bacterium. RNAcentral's name for it is "partial 16S ribosomal RNA". It matches the Rfam family "Bacterial small subunit ribosomal RNA", at positions 524 to 776 of the family's 1533-position model. The record is from RNAcentral.